Molecule: ribosomal RNA, 274 nt
Filed under: uncultured prokaryote
Description: partial 16S ribosomal RNA
Rfam family: Bacterial small subunit ribosomal RNA
Source: RNAcentral
UACGAAGGGGGCUAGCGUUGUUCGGAAUUACUGGGCGUAAAGGGCGUGUAGGCGGCCCGUUAAGACAGGUGUGAAAUUCCUGGGCUCAACCCAGGACGUGCGCCUGUGACUGGCGGGCUUGAGUCCGGGAGAGGAUGGUGGAACUCCCAGUGUAGAGGUGAAAUUCGUAGAUAUUGGGAAGAACACCCGUGGCGAAGGCGGCCAUCUGGACCGGUACUGACGCUAAGGCGCGACAGCGUGGGGAGCAAACAGGAUUAGAUACCCCGUGUAGUCC